RNAcentral lists this transfer RNA (66 nucleotides) under Rhynchium quinquecinctum. Its description in RNAcentral is "tRNA-Thr". Lineage: Eukaryota; Metazoa; Arthropoda; Insecta; Hymenoptera; Vespidae. The record is from RNAcentral.
AGCUUUAUAGUUUAAAAUAAAACAAUAAUCUUGUAAAUUAUAAUUAAAUACAUAAUUUUAAAGCUU